UACAGAGGUCUCAAGCGUUGUUCGGAUUCAUUGGGCGUAAAGGGUGCGUAGGCGGCGCGGUAAGUCGGGUGUGAAAUCUCGGAGCUUAACUCCGAAACUGCAUUCGAUACUGCCGUGCUUGAGGACUGGAGAGGAGACUGGAAUUCCUGGUGUAGCGGUGAAAUGCGCAGAUAUCAGGAGGAACACCGGUGGCGAAGGCGGGUCUCUGGGACGGUACUGACGCUGAGACGCGAAAGCGUGGGGAGCGAACAGG
RNAcentral lists this ribosomal RNA (253 nucleotides) under uncultured bacterium. Its description in RNAcentral is "partial 16S ribosomal RNA". It matches the Rfam family "Bacterial small subunit ribosomal RNA", at positions 524 to 776 of the family's 1533-position model. The record is from RNAcentral.